Long non-coding RNA from Macrobrachium nipponense, 923 nucleotides. RefSeq lists it as uncharacterized. NCBI's taxonomy places the organism in Eukaryota, Metazoa, Arthropoda, Malacostraca, Decapoda, Palaemonidae. The transcript is spliced from 3 exons. The record is from RefSeq and is a predicted model, not a curated record.
CCUUACAACCGAGCAACAAAUCGGAACGCCGCUACCUCGGCCCUUUGGGACUGGUUGCCAUGACAACGCGUGGCCAGUGAGCGAUGCUUAUGGUAAAGUCUGAGAGAGAAAUAGUUUAGUGCAGGUGGUUCGGAGUGCCUCCAAACGCGAGUUACUUACCGGUAACUUUUUAUCGUCGUCGUGCUUCGGGAAUGCUUGUUGUUGUGAAAGUGUAGUGCUUGAUGCCUUCAGAGGAAUUAGCUGCGUUGGUUUUCGGAGUUUUUCGAGGGCGAGAAGUGUCAGAAGUUUCGGGGAAGCGAGGAGUUUUUUUGAAGGGCCCUCCUCCACCACCUCCUACUCCUCCUGUCAAGAACAGCUGAUUAUAUUUCUUACCUUCACCCGAACACUUCCGGGCAGAAAGCAUCUUGGACUCUGCAUCGAGGUGACAACAGUAAAUCACAUUUUGAAGAAGGGAAUCAAGAAACGACCAGUACAUCAGAGGCCAUAUUGGUGUUCUUCUUCUUCUGCAAGGGUCUAUAGCAAAAGCAAAACCUUCAAGAAUAUCACUAUUCUGAAGGCGUCUUCUAGUCGCUAAUCAGUUUGUCCUUUCGUGGUUCCAACCCUGAAAUAAAUACAAGAAGAAGCGUAGUAGCAGAGUCAAGAAGCAUUUCAAGUUGCUUGAGAGAGAGAAAAAGAAGUCAUCUAGAAACACUGGUCAUUCUGUCCUCUUGCCUUGUUAAAAGAAGGUUCUGCCUCCGUCCACUUCCGCAACUUUCGUUACCUGAAGAAUGAGUGAAUCCGCCGUGCCUUGGUCUUACAACAACAAGAACAGCAGAAACAGCAGAAUGUCGUCAGCGUGGACAAACAACGCUCUCCCGGAAUCAGAUAUUCCCGGCUCUGUGGACGAAGACGCUGGCGUUCGUCAGCAGAAACUCCUGAAGCAG